This 796-nucleotide ribosomal RNA is filed under the name uncultured archaeon. Its description in RNAcentral is "bacterial SSU rRNA". It matches the Rfam family "Archaeal small subunit ribosomal RNA", at positions 85 to 879 of the family's 1478-position model. The record is from RNAcentral.
ACGGCUCAGUAACACGUGGAUAACCUGCCCUUGGGUCCGGCAUAACCCCGGGAAACUGGGGAUAAUUCCGGAUAACGCACAUAUGCUGGAAUGCUUUAUGCGUAAAAUGGAUUCGUCUGCCCAAGGAUGGGUCUGCGGCCUAUCAGGUAGUAGUGGGUGUAAUGUACCUACUAGCCGACGACGGGUACGGGUUGUGAGAGCAAGAGCCCGGAGAUGGAUUCUGAGACAUGAAUCCAGGCCCUACGGGGCGCAGCAGGCGCGAAAACUUUACAAUGCGGGAAACCGUGAUAAGGGGACACCGAGUGCCAGCAUCAUAUGCUGGCUGUCCGGGUGUGUAAAAUACACCUGUUAGCAAGGGCCGGGCAAGACCGGUGCCAGCCGCCGCGGUAACACCGGCGGCCCGAGUGGUGAUCGUGAUUAUUGGGUCUAAAGGGUCCGUAGCCGGUUUGGUCAGUCCUCCGGGAAAUCUGAUAGCUCAACUAUUAGGCUUUCGGGGGAUACUGCCAGACUUGGAACCGGGAGAGGUAAGAGGUACUACAGGGGUAGGAGUGAAAUCUUGUAAUCCCUGUGGGACCACCUGUGGCGAAGGCGUCUUACCAGAACGGGUUCGACGGUGAGGGACGAAAGCUGGGGGCACGAACCGGAUUAGAUACCCGGGUAGUCCCAGCCGUAAACGAUGCUCGCUAGGUGUCAGACAUGGCGCGACCGUGUCUGGUGCCGCAGGGAAGCCGUGAAGCGAGCCACCUGGGAAGUACGGCCGCAAGGCUGAAACUUAAAGGAAUUGGCGGGGGAGCAC